Long non-coding RNA from Oncorhynchus kisutch (coho salmon), 1729 nucleotides. Lineage: Eukaryota; Metazoa; Chordata; Actinopteri; Salmoniformes; Salmonidae. The record is from Ensembl.
GACAGCUGUACAUAAUUAGCCAUUCAGGUAAGAAGGGUCUGGGAUUCCUUUAUGAGGUGCAACCAAAACAGCUGUUAGACAUUGCAACAGGGAUAUUCUGGUAGGGUGUCUGUGUAGCAUUAGUUCUGAAUACGGUUGUGGUUUUGAUCACUAAAAUGGCUGUGACUUUUGGACUCUCUUUGAGUGUUUCUUGGAUUUGUUGCCUGCUAAUUGGAGGGAUAACUUGUUUUCCACUUCAAGGUGAUGCUUAUGGGCAUCCUGCCUGCACUGGACCUGAACCAACUGGAUCCCAAGCAAGUGUGGUGUCUGGUCCAAAUGCUAAAGCUACUGGCUACAAUACCCUGGCAAGUGUGACGCAGGGUCCAAAUGCCACAGCUGAAGCAACUGCCAACCAUGCCUCGUCAGAAGCGUCUGGCCCCCGCGCCUCAGCUGAAGCAACUGCCAGCCAUACCUCUGCAGAAGCGGCCGCCGGCCCCCACGCCUCUGCUGAAGCAACUGCCAACCAUGCCUCGUCAGAAGCGGCUGGCCCCCGCGCCUCAGCUGAAGCAACUGCCAGCCAUACCUCUGCAGUAGCGGCCGCCGGCCCUCGCGCCUCUGCUGAAGCAACUGCCAACCAUGCCUCGUCAGAAGCGGCUGGCCCCCGCGCCUCAGCUGAAGCAACUGCUAAACAUACCUCUGCAGUAGCGGCCGCCGGCCCGCGCGCCUCUGCUGAAGCAACUGCCAACCAUGCCUCGUCAGAAGCGGCUGGCCCCCGCGCCUCAGCUGAAGCAACUGCCAAACAUACCUCUGCAGUAGCGGCCACCGGCCCUCGCGCCUCUGCUGAAGCAACUGCCAAACAUACCUCUGCAGAAGUGGCUGGCCCCCGCGCCUCAGCUGAAGCAACUGCCAAACAUACCUCUGCAGAAGCGGCCGUCGGACCCCGCGCCUCAGCUGAAGCAACUGCUAAACAUACCUCUGUAGAAGCAGCUAGCCCCCGCGCCUCUGCUGAAGCAACUGCCAAACAUACCUCUGCAGAAGCGGCUGGCCCCCGCGCCUCUGCUGAAGCAACUGCCAAACAUACCUCUGCAGAAGCGGCCGGCCUUGAACAGACGGCCCGACCCCUCAACAAGCUAGAUAGGGAGAUCAUAAUUUGGUUUGCCCAACUCCUUAAUCGGCUUUCCCCUGUUACUGUGCCUCCCUUUGAAGAAAAGGGCAAAGGUAACUGAGGUGAGGAAUUGUGCAAACUAAUGCACUUGUUUGAAAUGAGGAUCUCCUUCACUUGCUCAUCGUUAUGCAAAUUGUUUACAGGGGUGAACACUACAAUGGUAUGAUUUUUUUUUUUUUUUCAAAACCAUACGACUAAAAUUUACAUCUGAUUUGGUCACUUGCUGACACUUAGGUUGUACGGUUUUGAUUUGUCCUGGUGUUCCUGCUACUCUUGCAUGAUUUGUUCAAUAAACAAUUUGACUUCCAAAAUGCUUUGUCUUUUAAAUGUGGGCUUCUCUCCUGCCUACCAUAUGCUUGCUGAUUAGGGACAGACUGGGUCUGGAGAAAAAGGGAUUGUGGAUUACACGACUUGUGUAAACAGCUUUGUUUCUGGUAGUUGAGGAAAGGUUGACUGCAUUUCUUGUUUUAAUUCCUCAUUGUUUGCAUAGUCAACAUACACACUUACCCCACCAACAUGCCACCAGGGGUCUUUUCAGUCUCAAUUAAAAGCACAGUGUUAGAGCCAUGAUUGGCUGGAACUCCC